Molecule: small RNA, 271 nt
Filed under: marine eukaryotic metagenome
Description: 5' ureB small RNA
Rfam family: 5' ureB small RNA
Source: RNAcentral
GCUGGGGGCACACGAAGUGGAUGUGGGCGUCCAACCCGCCGGCGGUGACGAUGGAGCCCUCGGCGGCCAUGGCCUCCGUACCGGGACCGAUCGCGAUAUCGACAUCGGACUGGGUAUCCGGGUUGCCGGCCUUGCCGAUGCCAUGGAUACGGCCGUCCUUAAUGCCGAUAUCGGCCUUGACCACACCCCAGUAGUCCAGGAUCAGGGCGUUGGUGACGACCAUAUCAACGACCUGGUGGCGGCUGCGCUGGCUCUGAGCCAUGCCAUCCCG